RNAcentral lists this ribosomal RNA (397 nucleotides) under uncultured bacterium. RNAcentral describes it as "partial 16S ribosomal RNA". It matches the Rfam family "Bacterial small subunit ribosomal RNA", at positions 523 to 918 of the family's 1533-position model. The record is from RNAcentral.
AUACGUAGGGGGCGAGCGUUGUCCGGAAUGAUUGGGCGUAAAGGGCGCGUAGGCGGCCCGGUAAGUCUGGAGUGAAAGUCCUGUUUUUAAGAUGGGAAUUGCUUUGGAUACUGUCGGGCUUGAGUGCAGGAGAGGUAAGUGGAAUUCCCAGUGUAGCGGUGAAAUGCGUAGAGAUUGGGAGGAACGCCAGUGGCGGAGGCGAAUUACCGGACGGUAAAUGACGCUGAGGCGCGAAAGUGUGGGGAGCAAAAAGGAUUAGAUACCCUGGGAGUCCUCACUGUAAACGAAGAAUGCUAGGUGUAGGGGGUAACGACCCCCUCUGUGCCGCAGUCAACACAAUAAGCAUUCCGCCUGGGGAGUACGGCCGCAAGGUUGAAACUCAAAUGAAUUGACGGGG